RNAcentral lists this ribosomal RNA (612 nucleotides) under uncultured archaeon. RNAcentral describes it as "bacterial SSU rRNA". It matches the Rfam family "Archaeal small subunit ribosomal RNA", at positions 268 to 884 of the family's 1478-position model. The record is from RNAcentral.
UACGGGUUGUGAGAGCAAGAGCCCGGAGAUGGAUUCUGAGACACGAAUCCAGGCCCUACGGGGCGCAGCAGGCGCGAAAACUUUACAAUGCGAGAAAUCGUGAUAAGGGAACCCCGAGUGCCCGUAAAUUCGGGCUGUCCGCCAGUGCAAAAAACUGGUGAAGAAAGAGCCGGGCAAGACCGGUGCCAGCCGCCGCGGUAAUACCGGCGGCUCGAGUGGUGGCCACUAUUACUGGGCUUAAAGCGUCCGUAGCUUGGUUGUUAAGUCUCCUGGGAAAUCCAUCGGCUCAACCGAUGGGCGUUCAGGAGAUACUGGCAACCUAGGGACCGGGAGAGGUGAGAGGUACUCCAGGGGUAGGAGUGAAAUCCUGUAAUCCUUGGGGGACCACCUGUGGCGAAGGCGUCUCACUAGAACGGCUCCGACAGUGAGGGACGAAAGCUGGGGGAGCAAACCGGAUUAGAUACCCGGGUAGUCCCAGCUGUAAACGAUGCGCGUUAGGUGUAUCGGUGACCACGAGUCACCGAGGUGCCGAAGGGAAACCGUGAAACGUGCCGCCUGGGAAGUACGGUCGCAAGGCUGAAACUUAAAGGAAUUGGCGGGGGAGAAGGGCGA